GGCUGGCAAAUCCGCAGGCACGUUAAUCCCGAGAAGUGAGUACGAGGGUUCUUCGGAACCCGAAGUCGCUAAUGCCACGCUCCCGGGAAAAGCCUCUAAGCUUCAGGUUGUGAUUGACCGUACCGCAAACCGACACUGGUGGGUGGGGAGAUAAUCUCCCAAGGCGCUUGAGAGAACUCGGGUUAAGGAACUCUGCAAAUUGAUACCGUAACUUCGGGAGAAGGUAUGCCUCGUAUCGUUACUGGACUUGCUCCAGGAAGCGGAAUGAGGCCGCAGGUAAUCGGUGGCUGCGACUGUUUAUCAAAAACACAGGACUCUGCGAACACGCAAGUGGAUGUAUAGGGUCUGACGCCUGCCCGGUGCCGGAAGGUUAAUUGAUGGGGUCAGCCGCAAGGCGAAGCUCCUGAUCGAAGCCCCGGUAAACGGCGGCCGUAACAAUAACGGUCCUAAGGUAGCGAAAUUCCUUGUCGGGUAAGUUCCAACCUGCACGAAUGGCGUAACGCUGGCCACACUGUCUCGACCCGAGACUCAGUGAAGUUGAAAUCGCUGUGAAGAUGCGGCGUAGCUGCGGAAAGACGGAAAGACCCCGUGAACCUUUACUACAGCUUUACACUGAACUUUGACCUUGUUUGUGUAGGAUAGGUGGGACCCUGUGAAGCGGAGGCGCUAGCUUUCGUGGAGGGGACGUUGAAAUACCACCCUGAUAAGUUCGGAGUUCUAACCUUGGCCCGUUAUCCGGGUUGGGGACAAUGUAUGGUGGGUAGUUUGACUGGGGCGGUCUCCUCCCAAAGAGUAACGGAGGAGUGCAAAGAUACCCUCAGCGCGGUCGGUCAUCGCGCACAGAGUGCAAUGGCAUAAGGGUGUUUGACCGCGAGACGUACAUGUCGAGCAGGUGCGAAAGCAGGUCAUAGUGAUCCGGUGGUUCUGUAUGGAAGGGCCAUUGCUCAACGGAUAAAAGGUACUCCGGGGAUAACAGGCUUAUUCCUCCCAAGAGUCCACAUCGACGGAGGAGUUUGGCACCUCGAUGUCGGCUCAUCACAUCCUGGGGCUGUAGCAGGUCCCAAGGGUUCGGCUGUUCGCCGAUUAAAGUGGUACGCGAGCUGGGUUCAAAACGUCGUGAGACAGUUUGGUCCCUAUCUUCCGUGGCCGUUGGAGAUUUGAGGGUGAGCUGUCCUUAGUACGAGAGGACCGGGAUGGACGCACCUCUGGUGUUCCGGUUGUCACGCCAGUGGCACUGCCGGGUAGCUAUGUGCGGACGGGAUAACCGCUGAAAGCAUCUAAGCGGGAAGCCCCCCCCAAGACCAGAUCUCCCUGGGAACUCGAUUCCCCUGAAGGGCCCAAGUAGACGACUUGGUUGAUAGGCUGGGUGUGUAAGGCCAGUAAUGGUCUCAGCUAACCAGUACUAAUUGCCCGUGAGGCUUGAU
RNAcentral lists this ribosomal RNA (1424 nucleotides) under metagenome. Its description in RNAcentral is "bacterial LSU rRNA". It matches the Rfam family "Bacterial large subunit ribosomal RNA", at positions 1531 to 2925 of the family's 2925-position model. The record is from RNAcentral.